This 253-nucleotide ribosomal RNA is filed under the name uncultured bacterium. RNAcentral's name for it is "partial 16S ribosomal RNA". It matches the Rfam family "Bacterial small subunit ribosomal RNA", at positions 524 to 776 of the family's 1533-position model. The record is from RNAcentral.
UACGUAGGGGGCAAGCGUUGUCCGGAAUCAUUGGGCGUAAAGAGCGUGUAGGCGGCUUGGUAAGUCCGCUGUGAAAGUCCAGGGCUCAACCCUGGAAUGCCGGUGGAAACUGUCAAGCUUGAGUCCGGAAGAGGCGAGUGGAAUUCCUGGUGUAGCGGUGAAAUGCGCAGAUAUCAGGAGGAACACCAAUGGCGAAGGCAGCUCGCUGGGACGGUACUGGCGCUGAGACGCGAAAGCGUGGGGAGCAAACAGG